Molecule: ribosomal RNA, 253 nt
Filed under: uncultured bacterium
Lineage: Bacteria
Description: partial 16S ribosomal RNA
Rfam family: Bacterial small subunit ribosomal RNA
Source: RNAcentral
UACAGAGGUCCCAAGCGUUGUUCGGAUUCACUGGGCGUAAAGGGUGCGUAGGUGGUGAGGUAAGUCGGAUGUGAAAUCUCCAGGCUCAACCUGGAAACUGCAUUGGAAACUACCUUGCUGGAGGAUUUGAGGGGGGAUUGGAAUACUUGGUGUAGCAGUGAAAUGCGUAGAUAUCAAGUGGAACACCAGUGGCGAAGGCGAAUCCCUGGAAAAUACCUGACACUGAGGCACGAAAGCUAGGGGAGCAAACAGG